RNAcentral lists this unclassified non-coding RNA (320 nucleotides) under uncultured fungus. Its description in RNAcentral is "partial contains small subunit ribosomal RNA, internal transcribed spacer 1, and 5.8S ribosomal RNA". The stretch from base 1 to 73 matches the Rfam family "Eukaryotic small subunit ribosomal RNA", at positions 1759 to 1831 of the family's 1831-position model. The record is from RNAcentral. Lineage: Eukaryota; Fungi.
GCAAACUUGGUCAUUUAGAGGAAGUAAAAGUCGUAACAAGGUUUCCGUAGGUGAACCUGCGGAAGGAUCAUUAUCGAGUUUUGACUGGGUUAGAGCUGGCCUUCCGAGGCAUGUGCACGCCCUGCUCAUCCACUCUACACCUGUGCACUUACUGUGGGUUUCAGACGGUGUUAGCGGGCCUUUACUGGCUUGUGAAGUCGUCUGAGCCUGCGUUUAUUACAAACACUUUAAAGUAUCAGAAUGUGUAUUGCGAUGUAACGCAUCUAUAUACAACUUUCAGCAACGGAUCUCUUGGCUCUCGCAUCGAUGAAGAACGCAGC